RNAcentral lists this ribosomal RNA (351 nucleotides) under Bacillus cereus. RNAcentral's name for it is "bacterial SSU rRNA". It matches the Rfam family "Bacterial small subunit ribosomal RNA", at positions 20 to 359 of the family's 1533-position model. Lineage: Bacteria; Bacillati; Bacillota; Bacilli; Caryophanales; Bacillaceae. The record is from RNAcentral.
UGGCUCAGGGACGAACGCUGGCGGCGUGCCUAAUACAUGCAAGUCGAGCGAAUGGAUUAAGAGCUUGCUCUUAUGAAGUUAGCGGCGGACGGGUGAGUAACACGUGGGUAACCUGCCCAUAAGACUGGGAUAACUCCGGGAAACCGGGGCUAAUACCGGAUAACAUUUUGAACUGCAUGGUUCGAAAUUGAAAGGCGGCUUCGGCUGUCACUUAUGGAUGGACCCGCGUCGCAUUAGCUAGUUGGUGAGGUAACGGCUCACCAAGGCAACGAUGCGUAGCCGACCUGAGAGGGUGAUCGGCCACACUGGGACUGAGACACGGCCCAGACUCCUACGGNANNNGCAGUAGGA